GCGUUCCUACGGGGCGCAGCAGUGGGGGAUAUUGCACAAUGGGGGGAACCCUGAUGCAGCGACGCCGCGUGGGUGAAGGAGCGUUUCGGCGCGUAAAGCCCUAUCGGCAGGGAAGAAGAUGACGGUACCUGACCAAGAAGCCCCGGCUAACUACGUGCCAGCAGCCGCGGGAAUACGUAGGUGGCAAGCGUUAUCCGGAUUUACUGGGUGUAAAGGGCGUGUAGGCGGGAGUGCAAGUCAGAUGGGAAAAC
RNAcentral lists this ribosomal RNA (251 nucleotides) under uncultured bacterium. RNAcentral describes it as "partial 16S ribosomal RNA". It matches the Rfam family "Bacterial small subunit ribosomal RNA", at positions 333 to 601 of the family's 1533-position model. The record is from RNAcentral.